This 200-nucleotide ribosomal RNA is filed under the name uncultured eukaryote. RNAcentral's name for it is "partial 18S ribosomal RNA". It matches the Rfam family "Eukaryotic small subunit ribosomal RNA", at positions 588 to 807 of the family's 1831-position model. The record is from RNAcentral.
GCUCCAAUAGCGUACACUAACGUUGUUGCAGUUAAAAAGCUCGUAGUUGAACUUUGGGUAGGAGUGACCGGGCCUCGGGGUGAAUGCCCCUUGUUUUGCCUGUGUUGUCUCUGGCCUCCUCCUUUUUUUGUUAUGAAAAAGGGUCUUUCACUGUAAAAAAUUAGGGUGUUUCAAGCAAAAGUUGUUUUGGAAUAGAUGAG